This 253-nucleotide ribosomal RNA is filed under the name uncultured bacterium. Its description in RNAcentral is "partial 16S ribosomal RNA". It matches the Rfam family "Bacterial small subunit ribosomal RNA", at positions 524 to 776 of the family's 1533-position model. The record is from RNAcentral.
UACGAAGGGGGCUAGCGUUGCUCGGAAUCACUGGGCGUAAAGGGCGCGUAGGCGGCCAUUCAAGUCAGGGGUGAAAGCCUGUGGCUCAACCACAGAAUUGCCUUUGAUACUGUCUGGCUCGAGACCGGAAGAGGUGAGUGGAACUGCGAGUGUAGAGGUGAAAUUCGUAGAUAUUCGCAAGAACACCAGUGGCGAAGGCGGCUCACUGGUCCGGUUCUGACGCUGAGGCGCGAAAGCGUGGGGAGCAAACAGG